RNAcentral lists this ribosomal RNA (336 nucleotides) under uncultured bacterium. RNAcentral describes it as "bacterial SSU rRNA". It matches the Rfam family "Bacterial small subunit ribosomal RNA", at positions 32 to 390 of the family's 1533-position model. The record is from RNAcentral.
AGCGAAACGCUGGCGGCAGGCUUAAUACAUGCAAGUCGAGCGCCUGUAGCAAUACAGGAGCGGCAGACGGGAGAGUAACACGUGGGAACGUGCCCUUUGGUUCGGAACAACACAGGGAAACUUGUGCUAAUACCGGAUAAGCCCUUACGGGGAAAGAUUUAUCGCCAAAGGAUCGGCCCGCGUCUGAUUAGCUAGUUGGUGGGGUAAUGGCCCACCAAGGCGACGAUCAGUAGCUGGUCUGAGAGGAUGAUCAGCCUCAUUGGGACUGAGACACGGCCCAAACUCCUACGGGAGGCAGCAGUAGGGAAUAUUGGACAAUGGCGCAAGCCUGAUCCA